RNAcentral lists this transfer RNA (80 nucleotides) under Seongchinamella unica. RNAcentral's name for it is "Halieaceae bacterium GH4-78 tRNA-Gly". It matches the Rfam family "tRNA". Rfam says of the family: Transfer RNA (tRNA) molecules are approximately 80 nucleotides in length. Their secondary structure includes four short double-helical elements and three loops (D, anti-codon, and T loops). Lineage: Bacteria; Pseudomonadati; Pseudomonadota; Gammaproteobacteria; Cellvibrionales; Halieaceae. The record is from RNAcentral.
CGCGGGAAUAGCUCAGUUGGUAGAGCGCAACCUUGCCAAGGUUGCGGCGGGGCGCGCAGCCUCGACGGUUCCGGCGACCA